AUACGGAGGGUGCAAGCGUUAAUCGGAAUUACUGGGCGUAAAGAGUACGUAGGUGGUUUGUUAAGUCAGAUGUGAAAGCCCCGGGUUCAACCUGGGAACUGCAUUUGAAACUGGCAAACUAGAGUAUGGUAGAGGGGGGUAGAAUUUCUAGUGUAGCGGUGAAAUGCGUAGAUAUUAGAAGGAAUACCAGUGGCGAAGGCGGCCCCCUGGACCAAUACUGACACUGAGGUACGAAAGCGUGGGUAGCGAACAGGAUUAGAAACCCUAGUAGUCC
RNAcentral lists this ribosomal RNA (274 nucleotides) under uncultured bacterium. RNAcentral describes it as "partial 16S ribosomal RNA". It matches the Rfam family "Bacterial small subunit ribosomal RNA", at positions 523 to 796 of the family's 1533-position model. The record is from RNAcentral.